Taeniopygia guttata (zebra finch) is the source of this 4974-nucleotide long non-coding RNA. NCBI's taxonomy places the organism in Eukaryota, Metazoa, Chordata, Aves, Passeriformes, Estrildidae. The record is from Ensembl.
GUCUCCCCUCAGAGACGGCCGUCAGCAGCAGUGGCAGCAUCGUCUCCAGGCCAGGGUACCCCGGGGGUGGCUCCUGCCCCUGCUUCUCCUCCAGCGUGUGGGGUGCUGCAGGAAUGGCUGGUCACCGGGGGCUGUCCCCACCGCUUCCCUGCCCCAUGGCCACAUCCCUGGGGACGUACCGUGGUCAGUGGCAAAGCAGUCGAUGAUGUCCAUGUUCUCCCAGAGCGCCUCCACAUCCUGGCGGGUGCCCAGCUCCGGCCGCACGGCUGCACGGCCCUUCCCCAGGCGCCCCAGGUCGUCCUGGCUCAGGAACAGGUGGUGCGGGGCCACCUCACACGUCACCGGCAUGCCCCUCUGCUUGGCCGCCUUGAUGAGGAGGAUCUGGGGCAGCCGUGGUUAGUGGGGAACCCCAGGGCCCCGUGCUCCAUCCCCGGAACCCAGCGUUCCCCCUGCUCACCUCCUCCCUGCGGGCCACGUGGCAGAUGUGGACAGGGCGCUGGUACAGCUGGGCCACCAUCAGCACGGCGGCCAACGUCUGCCGCUCUGCGUGUGCCACGAUGGGCAGGUGCCGCGGCCACUGCUCCAGGUGCUGCGGGAACGGGGCUCGUGGGCAUCGGCACCAGGACAGACCUGCCCCGUGCCAGCCCCUGCCCUCCUGCUCACCUCCAUCCACAGCGACAUGUCGUCCAUGCGCAGGGUGGAGAAGGUGUCGUUCAGGUACAUCUUGAGCCCGGCGGCUGCCGUGCCCGACGCAAAGUCCUCCUUGUGGGUGCCACCCGGCUCACGGAGGUGGACGUGGACAUCGAUCAGGCCUGGGGAGUGUCAGCAUCAGCACGAGGGACAUCCCGCCAGCGCAGCAGGCACACAUCUAUCUCCGCAGCGCCUGCAGACGUGCCCAGCCCAGCUCCCAGCACUGUCCCCGCUCCGUGCUGCGCCCCUGGGGCCACUGAACACCCACCUGGCAGACGGAUGAGUUUCUGGGAUGUCAUGCAGUCCACGUGCAUCUUCAGUGGGGGGGCUGCCCCAAUCUGGCCCAGUGCCUGCAGAAAGAGCAGCCAUGAGGCAGGAGACCCAGGGUCAGGGUGAUGAUGCCUGUCCGAGGUGCACCCCAAAAACAGCCCUGCACACAGAACCUGCCCCACAGCACCCACACCAGCACUUCUGCAACCCUACUUUGCUCCCUUUCCUUGCACCCACGGUCCCCAGGUGCCCCAGCCCACCUCUACGAAGAGCUUCGUGCACUUGAUGUCGAUGAUGAGGGGCACGGAGUAGUCGACAGCCAGGCGCCGGGUGCGGUACCCCUUGGUGACGAAGGAGGAGAGCCGGCGGCCCCCCGAGUUGCGCAUGGACAGGUUAAUGACCAUCUCAAAGUGGUUCUCGGCCAGGUAGUCCAGGAUGCUGCGCUGGGUCUCCGGGCACCAGCCUCACUGCUGUCUGCCUCCUCAAAGUGCCAGUCCACAGCCUUCACCUGCAGGCAGUGACCCUGUCAGGACCCUGCAGCAGCCCAGGGUGACCCUGGCCCUGCAGGCCCCCAGCCCUGACCUUGAUGCCGUGCUCGGUGUAGAAGUCGGCGGUGCCGAGGCUGGCAUACAGGUUGUAGCCAAGGUUCUCCAGCGUCCGUACCGUGGGCAGCAGCUCACUCUUGUUCUGAAACGAGCCAGGGGCCGGUCAGAGGGCAGAGAGGGAACCCCAGCCUCCCAGCAGUUUUACCCCACAUACCUUGUAGCUGCCUAUGGUCAGCAGAAUGUUCUUCUUGGGGAUCUUGAAGCCAGUGCUGAGCAUGGCCUUCAGAUACGCCUCGCAGCGGUUCUCCCCAAAACAGGCAACCUCACCUGUGCUGGUCAUCUCCACACCCAGCACCACAUCAGCGCCCGCCAGGCGUGAGAAGGAGAACUGGGGCACCUGGGGCCAAGGGGAUGCUCAGGGGCUGCCUGGUAUGUCUGUCCCUGCACCCCAGCCUGGCCCCGUGGCCCCCACUCACCUUGACACCAACGAUGCCUGUGCCCGUCAUCAGCCCCACAGGCUCCACAUCCUCACCCAUGAUCACCUGGCUGGCCAGAGCCACCAAGUCCACACCCAAGGUCUUGGAGACGAAGGGGAAGGAGCGGGAGACACGAACAUUGCACUCUAUCACCUUCAGCUGGUCAUCCUAGGUGAGAGGGGACAGAAUGAGGCAGGGCUGGGGAUGUGGGCUGUCCUCCCCUGGCCGUGCAGCCCCCAGUCCCGGGUACCUUGGCGAUGAGCUGCAGGUUGAAGGGCCCUGUGACCUGCAGCUCCUGCCCAAUGGCGUGGACAAUGGCCUUGAUGCGCUCCAGUGUCUUGGAGGUGAUGUCCUGUGGGGGGGUCACCAGUGUGGCAUCGCCCGAGUGCACUCCAGCGUUCUCCACGUGCUCCGAGAUGGCGAUGGCCACCACCACACCGUCACAGGCCACCGCGUCCACGUCAAUCUCCUGUGAGCGGGAACAUGGUCACAGCCUGUCCCUGGGGUGGGGGCCGGGGCUUUCAGGGGCAUCCCAGGGCUGGAGCAGCCCCCCCGGAUGGACCUUGGCCUCCCUGGAUGAACUUGGAAAUGACAACAGGCUGCUCCUUGGACACAGCCACAGCGUUGCUCAGGAACUUCUCCAGAUCGCUGUCCGAGUACGCCACGUUCAUGGCGGCACGCUCAGCACGUAGGAAGGGCGCACGACGCAGGGGUACCCCACCUUGCAGCAGAAGUGCUUGGCUGACUGCGGGGGAGACGGAGCUCAGCACACACGGAGAGCAGCUGGGGCAGCCCUCUCCUGUUCGCUGGGCCCCACCUCCAUGUUGGAGAGCUUCUUCCAGAGAGGCUGGCUGAUGCCGAUGGAGUCGAGCAGGCGGGAGAACUUGAAGCGGUUCUCGGCCGAGUCUAUGGCCUCCGGGGAGGUGCCCAGGAUGCGGCACUGCUGCCGGUGCAGGGCCAUGGCGAUGUUAUUGGGCAGCUGCCCGCCCAUGGACAGGAUCACACCCUCAGGGUUCUCCAGCUCGUAGAUGUCCAUCACACCUGCAGCACAGUGCAGGGCAGGGCAUGGCUGGGACAGAGCUGUGGCGACCCUCACCAGCCCCACAGCUGUCAGGGCCCCAGCCCCCUCACCUCAAAGGAGAUCUCGUCGAAGUAGAGGCGAUCACACAUGUCAUAAUCGGUGCUCACGGUCUCAGGGUUGUAGUUCACCAUGAUUGUCUUGAAGCCCAUCUAUUGGGGUGCAGGAUGAGGUGAACCCAGAGCCCCCAACCCCUACCCAGCCUUACUUUCUGACCAGGGACACCCACCCCUCAGCCCACGGGGUGCUGGGGCCCGUCUGACCUUGCGGAGCUCCUGGAUGCAGCCAACAGCACACCAGUCAAAACUCGACGCUGCUGCCGAUGCGGUAGACGCCGGAGCCAAUGACCAUGACGUGAGGCUCACGGAAGGCCAGGUCGUGCUCAGAGCCAUUGUAGGUCAGGUACAGGUAGUUGGUUUGGGCUGGCCACUCUGCUGCCACAGUGUCGAUCUGCUUCACCACUGGCAGGAUCUUCAGGUCGUGCCGCAUCUUGCGCACGGCCAGCUCGGUGCUGCAGAGAGCUGGGUGAGCGCCAGGACCGAGGCAGGGAGCAGAACAGGGCUUCCCCUCCCCGUCUCACCUGAGCACGGCCAGGGCCACCUGCUUAUCGGAGAAGCCGAGCUGCUUGGCGCGCUUGAGCACGGCGGGCGGCAUGGUGCCCUGCUCCCCACGGUAUGACUCCAGCAGCACCGCGUGGUCCGUGAUGUUCUUCAUCUUGUGCAGGAACCAGCGGUCAAUCUUGGUCAGCUCAUAGAGCCGCUCGAUGGAGUACCCGGCCCGCAGCGCCGCUGCCAGCACGAAGAUUCGCUUGUCCGUCGGUGUCUCCAGCUCCUGCCAGGCCAAGGUUGAGUGCGGCCGAGGGAGGCAGGUGGCCACCUCUCUCCCCAGAAUGGCACAGCCAGCACAGACACCCAGACCCCAGCUCUCACCAUGUCUGAGACCGGCUUCACUGUGUGAUCAAAGCCCACACAAUUCUCAUCCACCAUCCUCAGAGCUUUCUGGAACGCCUCCUCGAAGUUCCUCCCAAUGGCCAUGACUUCCCCUGCAGAAGGUGGGGUGAGCAGGCAGAUCCUGUGCCCACCACGUGCCCCGUCAGUGCUGCCCCCCGCGCUCACCCACGCUCUUCAUGGAGCUGCCGAUCUUGGUGCUGACGCGCAGGAACUUGCUGAGGUCCCAGCGCGGGAUCUUCACCACGCAGUAGUCCAGGCUGGGCUCAAAGUUGGCUGUGGUGGAGUUGGUGACGGAGUUCCUGAGGAGGUGACAGGGGUCAGCAGCUGGGGCCGUCCCACCAGGGCAGCACCUUGUCCCACACUGUGGUGGUACCUUACCUGAGGACGGGCAGGGGGAUGCCCAAGGCGAGUUUGGCAGCCACAUAGGCCAGCGGGUAACCAGUGGCCUUGCUGGCCAGGGCCGAGCUGCGGGAGAGCCGGGCGUUCAUCUCGAUGAUGUAGUACUGUGGGCAGCAGGCGGGCAGGUCAGAGGGUGCCGUGGAACAGCCCAGUGUCACGGCCAGACCCACGGCGUCCCAGAGAUGCUGCAGCACGGGGGCUGCUGCGGCACAGCCUCGUGGGACAGCUGGGGCAGGACCCACAUCCCGCAGGGUGAGGCUGGCUGGAGAUCAGGACAGGGAGGUAGAACCCGCAGGGAGCUGCAAGUACCUGCUCUGACUCGGGGUUGAGGGCAAACUGGAUGUUGCACUCGCCCACGAUGCCCAGGUGCUGCACCACCUUGAUGGCUGUGCGCCUCAGCAUGAAGUACUCGGUGUCAUUGAGGGUCUGGCUGGGCGCCACCACAAUGGACUCGCCCGUGUGGAUCCCCAGCGGGUCCAGGUUCUCCAUGUUGCACACCUGGCAGCAGGGCAGUCACAGCUCCACGUGCUGUCCGUGGUGCAUUCCUCCCAGUUCCCACCACAUCC